Molecule: long non-coding RNA, 274 nt
Organism: Physella acuta
Lineage: Eukaryota; Metazoa; Mollusca; Gastropoda; Physidae
Source: RefSeq, a predicted model, not a curated record
GUUAUGUUCAAGCUUGUAUUAUACAUCAGUGUAACAGCCUGCCCCGUUGUUAGAUUCAGUCUGCGUAAGUGCGAUCUCACAGUAAGCAGUUCUUUUCAAAAGCUCUCUAAACGCUGAGUAUUCUCAACAACUUCGAAAUGAAAUUAGGUCUAACCAUCUUGUUACUACUCGUCUUCGCUAGCUUUGCAUCAAGCGGUCACCUAAGCGGACCCACAAAAUUACUACAAACAUGUACAAGUGACAAAGAUUGUGGAUCACACGAAAUAGAAUGCAA